RNAcentral lists this long non-coding RNA (464 nucleotides) under Equus caballus (horse). RNAcentral describes it as "lncRNA (ENSECAG00000055138.1)". Lineage: Eukaryota; Metazoa; Chordata; Mammalia; Perissodactyla; Equidae. The record is from RNAcentral.
CUCAGGCUCCAAGAGGGAGUGUUUUGUCAGGGAGGAAAAACUUGUCCUCUUAGGAGCCGCAAAUUCAACAGGACAAAAAGGUCCAUAUGCACAAGAGCCAAGAAAAGAAGCAGCUGACUGGUUAAAUGAUUCAAGUCUAAUUUCCAGGGCCCCCCUGAAGAACCUAGGAGGAUAGAGGAAAAACCUUUUGUUCCUCCCCUAAAGGGGACACAAUUCAACCAGCAACAGAAAUAUUCUCUAUGUUGAUAGUGGUGGUGGUUACAUGGCUGUAGGUAUCAGAUAAAUCUCAUCAAACUGUACAGGUAAAAAGAAACAUAACUCCUGGAGUCUCUGUUUUUCUACAUCAACUAGUAAUGGCUGUCCCUUAGGCUUCCCACCCAUCGUCAUUACUGGAAUUGCCUUCUUUCUCCUGUGUUAGACUGACUGUAUUCUGAAAGCCAAUUUUCCUCUUUUUUGGAUUCCUC